GGAAUCAUAAGUGGUUAAAGAGUCCGUCUCGGAAGUGGGAGGUCGCGGGUUCGAAGCCCAGCCGAGUCAUUCCA
Molecule: non-coding RNA, 74 nt
Organism: Potamilus streckersoni
Lineage: Eukaryota; Metazoa; Mollusca; Bivalvia; Unionida; Unionidae
Source: the annotation of a GenBank genome assembly